Molecule: long non-coding RNA, 471 nt
Filed under: Nicotiana tabacum (common tobacco)
Lineage: Eukaryota; Viridiplantae; Streptophyta; Magnoliopsida; Solanales; Solanaceae
Description: long non-coding RNA (NTAB_LNC007811)
Source: RNAcentral
GCCAAACGGGCCCUUGAAUAACAUAAACAAUCCAGUCAAGCAACCAUGAUAGUCUAAUUGCUGACAAAUUUUAUUGAUUCCAUCUACAAACACAUUUAAAUACAACAACCACCUCAAAUAUCAUAGGUACAUAGCCAAACCUCUCAUUCAUAAUAGAUGAAGAAAUAGAUAGAGAGAGACUAUAAAGAAAAAGAACUAGCGACAUAGAUACAUAGCCAAACCUCUCAUUCUAACCCUAAACCAAUAUUACAUGAAAUGCAGUGCUUUGAGCAAUACCAGCUACCUAUACAGGUUUGGUCUCAGAUGAGUAUCAUAAUGUGAGACAUGAAAUGAUGGGGUUGUACCUGUCUCAUUCCUAGGAAGUGAUCUUAGGUACAUUUCUUCACCUGAUAAUAAUUUUGGCACUACAAUGGGGCUGAAUGUGGUCGGUGAGGAUUCAUGUAGUGGACUCCAACUUGGGGAUUGAGACGU